AUACAUCAGAAGACUCACAUCAGUUAACUUAUUAUUUCCUACAGUGUUUUACAGCAUAAACAUUGAUCUAUCGCUAUAAUCAUUUAAUUAUAAUCUCACUCAUCACUGAGCACGUGUUAAUGCAGGGAAAUUAUACAACAUAGAAACAUCAACACAACAAACAGUCACUUACUUUUCUUCAUGAACUCAACACAUGAAUAUUGAAAGCUGGAUCAUUUAGAAGGGACUGAAGAAGCUACACAACACGGUAGACUAAACUUCCUCUAUCAUAACCACAUUAUAAGAGUCUUAAAGUGACAGACACCCAGAAAUGUCAGAGCCUUUUAUACAACUUAAGUGAAUUAAUUUGUUUUUAAUUUUAUGAAGAAGCAGUGCACAUCAACCAUGUUUGAAGCAUUCGAGGAGGAGACAAAACUGCAGGAGAAAGAAGUGCAGAACAUUCUGAGUACAUCUUGAACAUCUUGAUGGUAGCAGCACAUUCAAUAAUACAGAAGCAGACACUGAAAGUCUUUAUCCUCACUAACUAUUAUAGUAGCUUUAUGACAAAUACCUUAUACAUGUUUGAAGUAUUACCUGCUCCUAUAUGAUGCACUUCUGUUUUUAGGGAGGUUAGGCUGUGAUGUUUGGAAAUUGCAGUAAUUUUAUGAGUUUGUUUAUAAUACCCAAUAGUUGCCAGAUGUUGUCCUGUCAGAAAUUCUUCUUCACGUGGUCCUGGAGGAGGAUGAUGCUGUAUUGUUAAAUCUCUCUUUGGUUUGUUUCAGAUUCAGAAGUCUGGUGGACAGUCAGGCACACUUCUGCUGGCUUGAUGGUGUAACUAAAUGGAGAACAAAUUCUGAGCCAUCGCAGGAAUUUUAGAAAAUGUUUACACUGCAGCCGACACUGCAAUGAAGUGAACAAUAACUGCUUACCAGGCUAUGUUGGAAACGAGGAGAGAUGCAAGUCUUUUACUCAGAAAACACCCAUCCAGGGUUUAGCAGUGAGUGGUCAUGAUGCUGCAGGAGGAAUAACUCUGUAUAACACAUCAGUUCUGUUCUGAAAGUCUUGUAAAUACCUCAGGAUUGUUUGUGAUUCUGAUUUCUGACAUCUACUAGGGAGCGCCCCUAAUAUUAUGUUUAUAUAUACAGUAUAUGACAAAGUUUCUUUGUUCUUUGUCUCCGAGCUCUUCUGCAAAUCAUGCACCGAAGGGUUCUGUAUUUAUUAUGUUUUAUAUCUUAAGGACCACAAUAUGGAAAUAAGGCUAUGGGAUUUUUGUGUUUUAAUAAUUUUGAACACUUCAUGUUGAGUGUUGUUGUUCAAUAAAGUAUUCAAUCAAUCAAAAUCUGUCUAAUACAUGUAUCCAAUCUUUCUACUCUAAUUAACUUUUUAAUACAAAACAGUAUAUGUGUCUUUUAUUAAACAAUAUUCUCAACUCUGUGAUUAUAAUACUUUGCAUUAAAGCAACACUUGCAGUAUAAAAUAACAACAGCAGUUUCUAAUGUUCUGAAGGAUUGCAUAUAAAAUUGGUUAUAAUACUUGGCUUAUAAAAGUUGGAUAAUUUGUAUAUUACACAAUGUGUGAAUGUU
Misgurnus anguillicaudatus (oriental weatherfish) is the source of this 1562-nucleotide non-coding RNA. The record is from RefSeq and is a predicted model, not a curated record. Lineage: Eukaryota; Metazoa; Chordata; Actinopteri; Cypriniformes; Cobitidae.